Molecule: ribosomal RNA, 549 nt
Filed under: uncultured Glomus
Lineage: Eukaryota; Fungi; Glomeromycota; Glomeromycetes; Glomerales; Glomeraceae
Description: SSU rRNA
Rfam family: Eukaryotic small subunit ribosomal RNA
Source: RNAcentral
UUGGAGGGCAAGUCUGGUGCCAGCAGCCGCGGUAAUUCCAGCUCCAAUAGCGUAUAUUAAAGUUGUUGCAGUUAAAAAGCUCGUAGUUGAAUUUCGGGAUUAGCAGGUCGGUCGUGCCACUGGUACGUACUGGUCUUGCUGAUUCCUCCCUCUUGACGAGCCGUAAUGCCAUUAAUUUGGUGUUGCGGGGAAUCAGGACUGUUACUUUGAAAAAAUUAGAGUGUUUAAAGCAGGCAUGCGCUUGAAUACAUUAGCAUGGAAUAAUGAAAUAGGACGUUCGAUCUUAUUUUGUUGGUUUCUAGGAUUGACGUAAUGAUUAAUAGGGAUAGUUGGGGGCAUUAGUAUUCAAUUGUCAGAGGUGAAAUUCUUGGAUUUAUUGAAGACUAACUACUGCGAAAGCAUUUGCCAAGGAUGUUUUCAUUAAUCAAGAACGAAAGUUAGGGGAUCGAAGACGAUCAGAUACCGUCGUAGUCUUAACCAUAAACUAUGCCGACUAGGGAUCGGAUGAUGUUAAUUUUUUAAUGACUCAUUCGGCGCCUUACGGGAAAC